This 107-nucleotide small RNA is filed under the name Pseudomonas aeruginosa. RNAcentral's name for it is "CrcZ". Lineage: Bacteria; Pseudomonadati; Pseudomonadota; Gammaproteobacteria; Pseudomonadales; Pseudomonadaceae. The record is from RNAcentral.
AGGGACGGGUCGACAAACAAAAACAACAAGCCCGAAAUCAUAAUAAAAACAAAGCACGCACCUACUUGGGGGGGAGCUUCGGCUCCCCCAGUAGCUUCACCCCUCCC